RNAcentral lists this transfer RNA (67 nucleotides) under Marmota monax (woodchuck). Its description in RNAcentral is "tRNA.Ala". Lineage: Eukaryota; Metazoa; Chordata; Mammalia; Rodentia; Sciuridae. The record is from RNAcentral.
GGUUAUGGCUCAGUGGUAGAGCACUUGCCUAGCAUAUAUGAGGCCUUGGGUUUAAUCCUCAGCACCA